RNAcentral lists this long non-coding RNA (2111 nucleotides) under Equus caballus (horse). Its description in RNAcentral is "lncRNA (ENSECAG00000050860.1)". Lineage: Eukaryota; Metazoa; Chordata; Mammalia; Perissodactyla; Equidae. The record is from RNAcentral.
ACUUACACCUGGGAGAGGGAGGCAGAAGGUUAGUAUCAAAGUGAUGUGGUGUGAGGAAGACUUGUGUUGCCAUUUCAGGCUUUGAGGUUGGGGAAGGAGCCGCAAGCCAAAAUAUGUGGGCAGCAAGGAAGCAGAUUCUCCUCAGAACCUCCCAGAGGGGCACAGCCCCCGGGUGCUUUGAUGUCGGUACACUGAGACCCGUUUUGGACUUCUAACCUCCAGAAAUAUUAGCCCUGAACUAACUGCUGCCAAUCCUCCUCUUUUUGCUGAGGAAGACUGGCCCUGAGCUAACAUCUGUGCCCAUCUUCCUCUACUUUAUACGUGGGACGCCUACCACAGCAUGGCUUGCCAAGUGGUGCCGUGUCUGCACCCGGGAUCCGAACCAGCGAACCCCGGGCCACCAAAGCGGAACAUGCACACUUAACUGCUGCACCACCCGGACAGCCCCAAUUUACCCUUUUUUUUUAAGACUUGGAAAUGUCCUAAUCAGAUGUCUCGUCGAUCUGCUGCCCAGGUGAGGGGAGUGGAGUCGGAAGAGAGCCUCCAGCUGUUGCUUCCUUCAGGAUCAGAAGCUGCAGAGAAGAACCUUAAGCAAGGCCAUGUACUCCCAGGGCAGCCACAUCCUCUGACUGAGGGAGGCAGAGGCACAAAGGCCCAGCUGUUCCUCUCCAAAGGGGAUGCCCGAUGGGCCACACUAGCUCCAUCACUCCUCGCUGAAUUGGCCAAGGCUUUGUUUCCCUUUUUCCUCUGCUCAAUACUGCUUCUUUCCCUCGCAUCCUGCUUUUUCACAUGUGCUGAUCCCUAAUAAACAUCUUGUACUUCAAACUUGGGCUAAUUGUUUGCUGCCAGAGAACGUGAUCUAAGACACUAUUUCUUUCUGUCCAUAUUGCUCUUUGUUCAGAUUAGUUCAGAAUAUAUUUGGAACCAAGGACAGAUCCUCUAUUUAUAUUAAAUGUGAUUUUAAAAAUAUUGAACCACAAAAUAUUGAAUUCCAGUUUGUCAGGAUCAUUUUGGAUAUAAUUUUACCCUCCUAGGCAUUUGCUUCACCCAGAUUUGUGUCAUCUUAACAUACGAUUACCAGCAACUAUUUCCCAAAGUUUUUGGUAAAAUGUUAACCAAGUCGUUUUUGAAGAUGAGUCCUAUUCACUAGUCUGGACUAACACAUGUCAAUUAAUUAGUGUUUACUGGUUAUGAUUAUUCAGUUAAGAAUUGUUUUAUUCUAUUUUGAUAUUGCCAGAGUAACAUUAAAGAGAUUAUUACUCCUAAAUAAUUUUUUAUUGCAAUAUAAAUUAUAUACGGAAAGGUGCACAAAACCUAAGUCUAAGAUUAACGUGUGGGCGCACUCCUGUGCCCGCCAUGUCAAUCAGGAAUUGGAAUAUUACUAGCAGCUCAAAAGCCCUUCAAACCCCUAACAUGAUCCUCUUUCCUAAAAGUAGCUGUGUUCCUAGCUUUAACAUCAUAGGUUAUUUUGAUUUUAUUUUAGUACUUUUAUGUAAAUUGAAUGUUAUGGCUGAUAGUCCUUUGUGUGUCUGAGAUUAUUCAUGGAAUGUUAUGUUUGUGAGAUUGAUAAAUAUUAUUGUGUACAGUAGUACUACAUUGAUUUUUAUUGCUGUAUAGUAUCCCAUUUUGUGAACAGAGCUCAAUUUGUUCAUCCAUUCUAGCAUAGAUGGACAAUUUUCUAGUUUUUGAUUGUUUCAAAAUGUUGCCUUGAAUAUUUUUACAUUUUUGGGGUACCUAUGUUGGGUUCCUGUGGUCUGUAUACAUAAGAAUGCAAUUGACGGGUCCUGGGAUAUAUCCAUAUUUCUCUUUGACAGAUAUCACCAGUUUUCCAAAGAAGUUGUACAAUUUUGUACUUCCACCUACAGCAUAUAAGCAUUCCAGCUGCUCCAUGUCCUCCCCAACACGUUGUAUGUUCAUAAUCUAUUUCACUUGCCUUUCAUUAACAGUUAGUGAAAUAGAGCACAGGGGUAUUGAUCUCUUGGAUUUCCUCUUCUGUGAGGUUCUUCUAAAUAUCCUUUAUGAUUUUUUUAGACUAGACUGUUUUUCCCUAUUGAUCACCAGCAAAUUUUACAUGACUUGGAUACAAGCAGUUGGUUGGUUAUACAUAUGAA